This 574-nucleotide ribosomal RNA is filed under the name Cryptococcus sp. GJ2L06. RNAcentral's name for it is "eukaryotic LSU rRNA". It matches the Rfam family "Eukaryotic large subunit ribosomal RNA", at positions 89 to 650 of the family's 3401-position model. The record is from RNAcentral. Lineage: Eukaryota; Fungi; Basidiomycota; Tremellomycetes; Tremellales; Cryptococcaceae.
GCGAGCGAACCGGGAAGAGCUCAAAUUUGAAAUCUGGCGUCCUUCGGGCGUCCGAGUUGUAAUCUAUAGAGGCGUUUUCCGUGCCGGACCGUGUCCAAGUCCCUUGGAAUAGGGUAUCAAAGAGGGUGACAAUCCCGUACUUGACACGACGACCGGUGCUCUGUGAUACGUCUUCUACGAGUCGAGUUGUUUGGGAAUGCAGCUCAAAACGGGUGGUAAACUCCAUCUAAAGCUAAAUAUUGGUGGGAGACCGAUAGCGAACAAGUACCGUGAGGGAAAGAUGAAAAGCACUUUGGAAAGAGAGUUAAACAGUAUGUGAAAUUGUUGAAAGGGAAACGAUUGAAGUCAGUCGUGUCCAUCGGAUUCAGCCGGUUCUGCCGGUCUACUUCCUUUGGACGGGUCAACAUCGGUUCUGGACGGCGGAUAAGGGCGGGAGGAAAGUAGCACCCCUCGGGGUGUGUUAUAGCCUCCUGUCGCAUACGUCGGCCGGGACCGAGGAACGCAGCUCGCCUUUAUGGCCGGGGUUCGCCCACGUACGAGCUUAGGAUGUUGACGUAAUGGCUUUAAACGACCC